UUGACCUCGGAUCAGGUAGGGAUACCCGCUGAACUUAAGCAUAUCAAUAAGCGGAGGAAAAGAAACCAACAGGGAUUGCCUUAGUAACUGCGAGUGAAGCGGCAAAAGCUCAAAUUUGAAAUCUGGUACCAUUCGGUGCCCGAGUUGUAAUUUGGAGAGGCAACUUCGGAGAGGGCGUUGGCCUAAGUUCCUUGGAACAGGACGUCACAGA
Molecule: ribosomal RNA, 211 nt
Filed under: uncultured Pezizales
Lineage: Eukaryota; Fungi; Ascomycota; Pezizomycetes; Pezizales
Description: partial 28S ribosomal RNA
Rfam family: Eukaryotic large subunit ribosomal RNA
Source: RNAcentral